GACGAACGCUGGCGGCGUGCUUAACACAUGCAAGUCGAACGGUAAGGCCCUUCGGGGUACACGAGUGGCGAACGGGUGAGUAACACGUGGGUGAUCUGCCCUGCACUUCGGGAUAAGCCUGGGAAACUGGGUCUAAUACCGGAUAGGACCACUGCCUGCAUGGGUGGUGGGGGAAAGCUUUUGCGGUGUGGGAUGGGCCCGCGGCCUAUCAGCUUGUUGGUGGGGUGAUGGCCUACCAAGGCGACGACGGGUAGCCGGCCUGAGAGGGUGACCGGCCACACUGGGACUGAGAUACGGCCCAGACUCCUACGGGAGGCAGCAGUGGGGAAUAUUGCACAAUGGGCGCAAGCCUGAUGCAGCGACGCCGCGUGAGGGAUGACGGCCUUCGGGUUGUAAACCUCUUUCAGCAUCGGCGAAGCGCAAGUGACGGUAGGUGCAGAAGAAGGACCGGCCAACUACGUGCCAGCCGCCGCGGUAA
Molecule: ribosomal RNA, 478 nt
Filed under: uncultured bacterium
Lineage: Bacteria
Description: partial 16S ribosomal RNA
Rfam family: Bacterial small subunit ribosomal RNA
Source: RNAcentral